UACGAAGGGUGCAAGCGUUACUCGGAAUUACUGGGCGUAAAGCGUGCGUAGGUGGUUUGUUAAGUCUGAUGUGAAAGCCCUGGGCUCAACCUGGGAACUGCAUUGGAAACUGGCUUACUAGAGUGCGGUAGAGGGGUGUGGAAUUCCCGGUGUAGCAGUGAAAUGCGUAGAUAUCGGGAGGAACAUCUGUGGCGAAGGCGACACCCUGGACCAGCACUGACACUGAGGCACGAAAGCGUGGGGAGCAAACAGG
This 253-nucleotide ribosomal RNA is filed under the name uncultured bacterium. RNAcentral's name for it is "partial 16S ribosomal RNA". It matches the Rfam family "Bacterial small subunit ribosomal RNA", at positions 524 to 776 of the family's 1533-position model. The record is from RNAcentral.